AGCGAACGUUGGCGGCGUGCUUAACACAUGCAAGUCGUACGCGAUCUUUAGCUUCGGUUGAAGUGAGCGUGGCGCACGGGUGAGUAACACGUGAGUAACGUACCUUCAGGUGGGGAAUAACGGUUCGAAAGGGCCGCUAAUACCGCAUGAGACCACAACGCCUUAUGGUGAAGUGGCCAAAGCCUUCGGGCGCCUGAAGAUCGGCUCGCGGCCCAUUAGGUAGUUGGCGGGGUAAUGGCCCACCAAGCCAAAGAUGGGUAGCUGGUCUGAGAGGAUGAUCAGCCACACUGGGACUGAGACUCGGCCCAGACUCCUACGGGAGGCAGCAGUGGGGAAUCUUGCGCAAUGGACGAAAGUCUGACGCAGCAACGCCGCGUGUGUGAUGAAGGCCCUCGGGUCGUAAAGCACUGUUGGGAGAGAAGAAGAUCUGACGGUAUCUCCUGAGGAAGCACCGGCUAACUCCGUGCCAGCAGCCGCGGUAAUACGGAGGGUGCAAACGUUGCUCGGAAUCAUUGGGCGUAAAGCGCGCGUAGGCGGUCGCAUAAGUCCGGCGUGAAAGCCCAGGGCUCAACCCUGGAAUGCCGCUGGAAACUGUACGACUUGAGGGCGAGAGGGGCUUGUGGAAUUUCUGGUGUAGGGGUGAAAUCCGUAGAGAUCAGAAGGAACACCGGUGGCGAAGGCGACAAGCUGGAUCGCACCUGACGCUGAGGCGCGAAAGCGUGGGGAGCAAACAGGAUUAGAUACCCUGGUAGUCCACGCUGUAAACGAUGUUCACUAGUUGCUCCCUGCCUGGUGCGGGGGGUGACGCAGCUAACGCAUUAAGUGAACCGCCUGGGGAGUACGGCCGCAAGGUUAAAACUCAAAGGAAUUGACGGGGACCCGCACAAGCGGUGGGGCAUGUGGUUUAAUUCGAAGCAACGCGCAGAACCUUACCUGGGUUUGACAUCUGCGGAAGUCGGGGUAAUGCCUGAUGUGCCCUUCGGGGAGCCGCAAGACAGGUGCUGCAUGGCUGUCGUCAGCUCGUGUCGUGAGAUGUUCGGUUAAGUCCGGCAACGAGCGCAACCCUCGUCACUAGUUGCCAGCAGGUGAAGCUGGGCACUCUAGUGAGACUGCCGAUGUGAAAUCGGAGGAAGGUGGGGAUGACGUCAAGUCCUCAUGGCCCUUAUGUCCAGGGCUACACACGUGCUACAAUGGGCGAUACAAAGGGAAGCGAGACCGCGAGGUGGAGCCAAUCCCAAAAAGUCGCCCUCAGUUCAGAUUGCAGUCUGCAACUCGACUGCAUGAAGGUGGAAUCGCUAGUAAUCGUGGAACAGCAUGCCACGGUGAAUACGUUCCCGGGUCU
RNAcentral lists this ribosomal RNA (1342 nucleotides) under uncultured bacterium. Its description in RNAcentral is "bacterial SSU rRNA". It matches the Rfam family "Bacterial small subunit ribosomal RNA", at positions 28 to 1381 of the family's 1533-position model. The record is from RNAcentral.